UAUUAUGACUACAGCAGAUGGCCCAUUUUGAAACUUGCGUUGAGGAGGCUGCAGAAGUGUUGAGUGCUGAGGUAUACCCCUAUGUUUUCAUCCGAUUGCUUUCUGCUAUUAUAGGAAUGGGACGCGAGAGAUAAAGAUUCUAUCCGACGAGUAGUACAACACAGCAAUGUGGUCAUCAAUCUUAUUGGACGAGACUGGGAAACCAAAAACUAUGAUUUUGAGGAUGUUUUUGUGAAGAUUCCCCAAGCAAUUGCUCAACUGUCCAAGGAAGCUGGAGUUGAAAAAUUCAUUCAUGUUUCACAUCUGAAUGCGAAUAUUAAAAGCUCUUCUAGAUAUUUGAGAAAUAAGGUAUGCAUCGAUUUGGUCCUAUACCCCUUGGUUCCUUGGGCUGGAAGACAGUUAAACAACCAGUAUAUGUCGUAGAUGUAUCCAAAGGAAUUGUUAAUGCAGUUAAGGAUCCUGAUGCCAACGGGAAAUCCUUUGCUUUCGUUGGUCCCAGUCGGUACCUCCUUUUCCACCUGGUGAAGUACAUCUUUGCUGUGGCUCACAGAUUGUUCCUCCCAUUCCCCUUGCCACUUUUUGCCUAUCGAAGAAAGUAUGAAAUUAGCUCUGAGGCAACAAGAAAAUGUGAACAGCACACUGAAGAGGGCGAAAGAUGAAGUACGCCCUGUUCUAAAGGCAAUGGAAACCAAGGUGAAUGAGACAAAGAAGCACAAAACCCAAAUGAAACUCUUCCCACACUCACAGCUUUUCAGGCAAUGGGGCGAGGAUCUUUCUGAGGCCCAGCAGAAGGCGGCCCAGGACCUCUUCCGGAAGUUUGGUUACAACGCGUACCUCAGCAACCAGCUGCCUCUCAAUCGCACC
RNAcentral lists this small RNA (864 nucleotides) under Pan troglodytes (chimpanzee). RNAcentral's name for it is "retained intron". Lineage: Eukaryota; Metazoa; Chordata; Mammalia; Primates; Hominidae. The record is from RNAcentral.